Molecule: ribosomal RNA, 120 nt
Filed under: uncultured bacterium
Lineage: Bacteria
Description: partial 16S ribosomal RNA
Rfam family: Bacterial small subunit ribosomal RNA
Source: RNAcentral
CUGGCCGUAAACGAUGAAUGCUAGGUGUGGGUGUAGAGAUACAUUCGUGCCGGAGUUAACGCGAUAAGCAUUCCGCCUGGGGAGUACGGUCGCAAGAUUGAAACUCAAAGGAAUUGACGG